UGAGGAAUAUUGGUCAAUGGGUGCAAGCCUGAACCAGCCAUCCCGCGUGAAGGACGACUGCCCUAUGGGUUGUAAACUUCUUUUGUAUAGGGAUAAACCUACCCUCGUGAGGGUAGCUGAAGGUACUAUACGAAUAAGCACCGGCUAACUCCGUGCCAGCAGCCGCGGUAAUACGGAGGGUGCAAGCGUUAUCCGGAUUUAUUGGGUUUAAAGGGUCCGUAGGCGGACUUAUAAGUCAGUGGUGAAAGCCUGUCGCUUAACGAUAGAACUGCCAUUGAUACUGUAAGUCUUGAGUAUAUUUGAGGUAGCUGGAAUAAGUAGUGUAGCGGUGAAAUGCAUAGAUAUUACUUAGAACACCAAUUGCGAAGGCAGGUUACCAAGAUAUAACUGACGCUGAGGGGACGAAAGCGUGGGGACGAACAGGAUUAGAUACCCUGGUAGUCACGCCGUAAACGAUGCUAACUCGUUUUUGGGCUUUAGGGUUUCAGAGACCAAGCGAAAGUGAUAAGUUAGCCACCUGGGGAGUACGCUCGCAAGAGUGAAAGCUCAAAUGAAUUG
Molecule: ribosomal RNA, 558 nt
Filed under: uncultured bacterium
Lineage: Bacteria
Description: partial 16S ribosomal RNA
Rfam family: Bacterial small subunit ribosomal RNA
Source: RNAcentral